UACGGAGGGUGCAAGCGUUAAUCGGAAUUACUGGGCGUAAAGCGCGCGUAGGUGGUUUGUUAAGCGAGAUGUGAAAGCCCAGGGCUCAACCUUGGAACUGCAUUUCGAACUGGCAGGCUAGAGUACGAGAGAGGAUAGUGGAAUUUCCAGUGUAGCGGUGAAAUGCGUAGAGAUUGGAAGGAACACCGAAGGCGAAAGCGGUCUACUGGGCCUUUACUGACACUCAGAGGCGAAAGCUAGGGUAGCGAAAGGG
This 253-nucleotide ribosomal RNA is filed under the name uncultured bacterium. RNAcentral describes it as "partial 16S ribosomal RNA". It matches the Rfam family "Bacterial small subunit ribosomal RNA", at positions 524 to 776 of the family's 1533-position model. The record is from RNAcentral.